GGUUGAUGGCGACCGGCGCACGGGUGAGUAACACGUAUCCAACCCCCUUAUUAUUCCGGGAUAGCCUUUCGAAAGAAAGAUUAAUACCGUAUAGCAUAACGAGAAGGCAUCUUCUUGUUAUUAAAGAAUUUCGAUAAUCGAUGGGGAUGCGUUCCAUUAGUUUGUUGGCGGGGUAACGGCCCACCAAGACAUCGAUGGAUAGGGGUUCUGAGAGGAAGGUCCCCCACAUUGGAACUGAGACACGGUCCAAACUCCUACGGGAGGCAGCAGUGAGGAAUAUUGGUCAAUGGACGAGAGUCUGAACCAGCCAAGUAGCGUGAAGGAUGACUGCCCUAUGGGUUGUAAACUUCUUUUAUAUGGGAAUAAAGUGCAGUAUGUAUACUGUUUUGUAUGUGCCAUACGAAUAAGGAUCGGCUAACUCCGUGCCAGCAGCCGCGGUAAUACGGAGGAUCCGAGCGUUAUCCGGAUUUAUUGGGUUUAAAGGGAGCGUAGGCGGAUUAUUAAGUCAGUUGUGAAAGUUUGCGGCUCAACCGUAAAAUUGCAGUUGAUACUGGUAGUCUUGAGUGCAGCAGAGGUAGGCGGAAUUCGUGGUGUAGCGGUGAAAUGCUUAGAUAUCACGAAGAACUCCGAUUG
RNAcentral lists this ribosomal RNA (633 nucleotides) under uncultured Bacteroides sp. RNAcentral's name for it is "bacterial SSU rRNA". It matches the Rfam family "Bacterial small subunit ribosomal RNA", at positions 83 to 715 of the family's 1533-position model. Lineage: Bacteria; Pseudomonadati; Bacteroidota; Bacteroidia; Bacteroidales; Bacteroidaceae. The record is from RNAcentral.